UAUUAAAUAAGCAAGAGGAACAGAGGUCC
This 29-nucleotide non-coding RNA is filed under the name Rattus norvegicus (Norway rat). Lineage: Eukaryota; Metazoa; Chordata; Mammalia; Rodentia; Muridae. The record is from RNAcentral.